This 203-nucleotide long non-coding RNA is filed under the name Elaeis guineensis (African oil palm). Its description in RNAcentral is "long non-coding RNA (EGUI_LNC016269)". The record is from RNAcentral. Lineage: Eukaryota; Viridiplantae; Streptophyta; Magnoliopsida; Arecales; Arecaceae.
GCUGGAUUAAUGAAGAGCUUUGAAUAGGAGAGAUAGGGUUGAUGUAACAAUAGGAAUGUCCAUCUUAGCGACCUCGUCAUCUACCUUCCAUCAAUUACGAAAAUGAUCAAGCAAUAUCUCUUGAAUGAUCGAGGGAUCGAUAAUAGUUUCUCCUUGAGGGGAAUAUAAAACAUGCAUCUGAUUUUUCCUUCUACGAAGAAUGG